UACGAAGGGGGCUAGCGUUGUUCGGAAUUACUGGGCGUAAAGGGCGCGUAGGCGGUACUUCAAGUCAGGCGUGAAAGCCCCGGGCUCAACCUCGGAACUGCCUUCGAUACUGGCGACCUUCGAGUCCGGGAGAGGUGAGUGGAACUCCGAGUGUAGAGGUGAAAUUCGUAGAUAUUCGGAAGAACACCAGUGGCGAAGGCGGCUCACUGGCCCGGUACUGACGCUGAGAUACGAAAGCGUGGGGAGCAAACAGG
Molecule: ribosomal RNA, 254 nt
Filed under: uncultured bacterium
Lineage: Bacteria
Description: partial 16S ribosomal RNA
Rfam family: Bacterial small subunit ribosomal RNA
Source: RNAcentral